ACCUUUCUAGUAUACUUAGUACAGGUGACUUCCACUCAUCAGGCCUUAAUCCAUUUAAGGAAAGGUA
RNAcentral lists this transfer RNA (67 nucleotides) under Geocalamus acutus. RNAcentral's name for it is "tRNA-Gly". The record is from RNAcentral. Lineage: Eukaryota; Metazoa; Chordata; Lepidosauria; Squamata; Amphisbaenidae.